CACGUAGGGCGCGAGCGUUGUCCGGAAUUACUGGGCGUAAAGCGCCUGUAGGCGGUUUGGUAAGUCGGAUGUGAAAGCCCCGGGCUCAACCCGGGAAGUGCACUCGAUACUGCCAAGCUAGAGUAUCGGAGAGGUUGGUGAAAUUCUCGGUGUAGAGGUGAAAUUCGUAGAUAUCGAGAGGAACACCUAUGGCGAAGGCAGCUCUCUGGGACGGUACUGACGCUGAGACGCGAAAGCGUGGGGAGCGAACAGG
This 253-nucleotide ribosomal RNA is filed under the name uncultured bacterium. RNAcentral describes it as "partial 16S ribosomal RNA". It matches the Rfam family "Bacterial small subunit ribosomal RNA", at positions 524 to 776 of the family's 1533-position model. The record is from RNAcentral.